AGGGAAUCUUCCGCAAUGGACGAAAGCCUGAUGCAGCAACGCCGCGUGAGUGAAGAAGGUUUUCGGAUUGUAAAGCUCUGUCAUCUGGGACGAUAAUGACGGUACCAGAUGAGGAAGCCACGGCUAACUACGUGCCAGCAGCCGCGGUAAUACGUAGGUGGCAAGCGUUGUCCGGAAUUACUGGGCGUAAAGGGUGCGCAGGCGGACAUUUAAGUGAGAUGUGAAAGACCCGGGCUUAACUUGGGCAGUGCAUUUCAAACUGGAUGUCUGGAGUGCAGGAGAGGAGAACGGAAUUCCUAGUGUAGCGGUGAAAUGCGUAGAGAUUAGGAAGAACACCAGUGGCGAAGGCGGUUCUCUGGACUGUAACUGACGCUGAGGCACGAAAGCGUGGGUAGCAAAC
RNAcentral lists this ribosomal RNA (400 nucleotides) under uncultured bacterium. RNAcentral describes it as "bacterial SSU rRNA". It matches the Rfam family "Bacterial small subunit ribosomal RNA", at positions 356 to 773 of the family's 1533-position model. The record is from RNAcentral.